Molecule: non-coding RNA, 22 nt
Filed under: Gossypium hirsutum (cotton)
Lineage: Eukaryota; Viridiplantae; Streptophyta; Magnoliopsida; Malvales; Malvaceae
Source: RNAcentral
UUUGAGAAGUGCCGUGAAAAAA